RNAcentral lists this ribosomal RNA (468 nucleotides) under uncultured bacterium. RNAcentral's name for it is "partial 16S ribosomal RNA". It matches the Rfam family "Bacterial small subunit ribosomal RNA", at positions 28 to 507 of the family's 1533-position model. The record is from RNAcentral.
GACGAACGCUGGCGGCGUGCUUAACACAUGCAAGUCGAACGGAAAGGCCCUGCUUUUGUGGGGUGCUCGAGUGGCGAACGGGUGAGUAACAUGUGAGUAACCUGCCCUUGACUUUGGGAUAACUUCAGGAAACUGGGGCUAACACCGGAUAGGAGCUCCUGCUGCAUGGUGGGGGUUGGAAAGUUUCGGCGGUUGGGGAUGGACUCGCGGCUUAUCAGCUUGUUGGUGGGGUAGUGGCUUACCAAGGCUUUGACGGAUAGCCGGCAUGGGAGGGUGACCGGCCACAUUGGGACUGAGGUACGGCGCAGACUCGUACGGUGGGCAGCGGGGGGGAAUAUUGCACAGUGAGCGGGAGCCUGAGAAAGCAGCGCCGCGUGCGGGAUGACGGCCUUCGGGUUGUGAACCGCUUUCACCUGUGACGAAGCGUGAGUGACGGUAAUGAGUAAAGAAGCACCGGCUAACUACGUG